This 204-nucleotide ribosomal RNA is filed under the name Colletotrichum gloeosporioides. RNAcentral's name for it is "partial 28S ribosomal RNA". Lineage: Eukaryota; Fungi; Ascomycota; Sordariomycetes; Glomerellales; Glomerellaceae. The record is from RNAcentral.
AAGGGAAGCGCUUGUGACCAGACUUGCGUCCGGUGAAUCACCCAGCUCUCGCGGCUGGGGCACUUCNCCGGCUCAGGCCAGCAUCAGCUCGCUGUCGGGGACAAAAGCUUCAGGAACGUAGCUCUCUUCGGGGAGUGUUAUAGCCUGUUGCAUAAUACCCUUCGGCGGGCUGAGGUACGCGCUCCGCAAGGAUGCUGGCAUAAU